Molecule: long non-coding RNA, 1068 nt
Filed under: Aquilegia coerulea
Lineage: Eukaryota; Viridiplantae; Streptophyta; Magnoliopsida; Ranunculales; Ranunculaceae
Description: long non-coding RNA (ACOE_LNC000159)
Source: RNAcentral
GUAUGUCGUGUGGCAUUCCCCGUUCCUUGACUACUAUCAGCUCUAAGUUUAUGGCCACAUUUUUUACAAGCCGCCAUUACAUACCCACUCUCAUUCACUCCAGGUAAAGUAUUAUAAUGAUCCCACGCUUUAGAUACAAAAGUACGAGUUCGUUUAGUGGAACUUUUACCUGUUGAGGUUUGGUCUUCGGCAUUACCUUCCAUAUCAACAUCUAUGAGAUCGUUUUCCGAAAGAUCCACAACGUCCUCCAUCUGAAAAUUCAGAAACAAAAAUAAAAAAAAUGCAACUUAAUACAUGUAUUAAUAAUGUUUGUCAAAUGAAAAUCAGUGACCAAAAUAAGCAUCACAUAAGCGUAUUGCUCAAAUGCCGCAAAUUGAAUAUGGCAUGAAGGAUGAAGAACUCAAUUGAAUUUAAACUAUGAAAACUAUAAUCGUCGAUUAAGCCCAGCCAAAUCUACAAAUGGGCUUAAUCGACGUUUUUCAAAGAGAGAUCACCAGAAAAUUUGAUUCAACUAAAAAUCAAUGGUCUUAAUGGAACUAGUUCUAUAAAUGAAAAAAAAAAGAAUGGAUUCUCAAUGAAGAUCUGUAAUGGGUUUUUGACAGAAAGAACAAAAACACUCUUGUAGUAUGAAAUGAAUCAAAACAACACACUUUAUGGACAAAAUUUCAAAUACCCUUUUUUAAUGAAGGUUGUGUGGUUAAAUUAGGUACAACUAACAGAGAAAUAUAUAUACUAGAAAAUGACAAAAAACAAUGGUGAAUUGGUGAUUGUGGUAUGGUGGAGUGAUAGAUUGAAUAAUUGAUGAAGACAAUGAUAAAACUGAAGUGGGGUUAAAUUCUUUCUUCUUCCCACCUUCUCAGUGCAUCAAUUCCUUCACCACACUAUCAAAUUAAAUUUAGUCAAAAAAAAUAACUAUGUGAUUAAAUAAAAAUCAAAUUAAAAAGUUGGUUUACCACUUUACCUUUUUAACAACAGGUCAACAGUAAACGAAGAAGAAGCUGAUGAGAACAGCGAGUGAAGUACUGAAGAAGGAGAAGAACCAGGUGAGUGAAGACGCAAAGAAUAGGU